This 1441-nucleotide ribosomal RNA is filed under the name uncultured organism. RNAcentral's name for it is "SSU rRNA". It matches the Rfam family "Bacterial small subunit ribosomal RNA". The record is from RNAcentral.
ACAGGCUUAACACAUGCAAGUCGAGGGGCAGCAUGGUCUUAGCUUGCUAAGACUGAUGGCGACCGGCGCACGGGUGAGUAACACGUAUCCAACCUGCCGUCUACUCUUGGACAGCCUUCUGAAAGGAAGAUUAAUACAAGAUGGCAUCAUGAGUCCGCAUGUUCACAUGAUUAAAGGUAUUCCGGUAGACGAUGGGGAUGCGUUCCAUUAGAUAGUAGGCGGGGUAACGGCCCACCUAGUCUUCGAUGGAUAGGGGUUCUGAGAGGAAGGUCCCCCACAUUGGAACUGAGACACGGUCCAAACUCCUACGGGAGGCAGCAGUGAGGAAUAUUGGUCAAUGGGCGAGAGCCUGAACCAGCCAAGUAGCGUGAAGGAUGACUGCCCUAUGGGUUGUAAACUUCUUUUAUAAAGGAAUAAAGUCGGGUAUGCAUACCCGUUUGCAUGUACUUUAUGAAUAAGGAUCGGCUAACUCCGUGCCAGCAGCCGCGGUAAUACGGAGGAUCCGAGCGUUAUCCGGAUUUACUGGGUUUAAAGGGAGCGUAGAUGGAUGUUUAAGUCAGUUGUGAAAGUUUGCGGCUCAACCGUAAAAUUGCAGUUGAUACUGGAUAUCUUGAGUGCAGUUGAGGCAGGCGGAAUUCGUGGUGUAGCGGUGAAAUGCUUAGAUAUCACGAAGAACUCCGAUUGCGAAGGCAGCCUGCUAAGCUGCAACUGACAUUGAGGCUCGAAAGUGUGGGUAUCAAACAGGAUUAGAUACCCUGGUAGUCCACACGGUAAACGAUGAAUACUCGCUGUUUGCGAUAUACGGCAAGCGGCCAAGCGAAAGCGUUAAGUAUUCCACCUGGGGAGUACGCCGGCAACGGUGAAACUCAAAGGAAUUGACGGGGGCCCGCACAAGCGGAGGAACAUGUGGUUUAAUUCGAUGAUACGCGAGGAACCUUACCCGGGCUUAAAUUGCAGAUGAAUUACGGUGAAAGCCGUAAGCCGCAAGGCAUCUGUGAAGGUGCUGCAUGGUUGUCGUCAGCUCGUGCCGUGAGGUGUCGGCUUAAGUGCCAUAACGAGCGCAACCCUUGUUGUCAGUUACUAACAGGUUCCGCUGAGGACUCUGACAAGACUGCCAUCGUAAGAUGUGAGGAAGGUGGGGAUGACGUCAAAUCAGCACGGCCCUUACGUCCGGGGCUACACACGUGUUACAAUGGGGGGUACAGAGGGCCGCUACCACGCGAGUGGAUGCCAAUCCCCAAAACCUCUCUCAGUUCGGACUGGAGUCUGCAACCCGACUCCACGAAGCUGGAUUCGCUAGUAAUCGCGCAUCAGCCACGGCGCGGUGAAUACGUUCCCGGGCCUUGUACACACCGCCCGUCAAGCCAUGGGAGCCGGGGGUACCUGAAGUGCGUAACCGCGAGGAGCGCCCUAGGGUAAAACUGGUGACUGGGGCUAAGAC